This 163-nucleotide ribosomal RNA is filed under the name uncultured bacterium. RNAcentral's name for it is "partial 16S rRNA". It matches the Rfam family "Bacterial small subunit ribosomal RNA", at positions 355 to 510 of the family's 1533-position model. The record is from RNAcentral.
UAGGGAAUCUUCCAUAAUGGACGAAAGUCUGAUGGAGCAACGCCGCGUGAGUGAAGAAGGGUUUCGGCUCGUAAAACUCUGUUGUUAAAGAAGAACAUAUCUGAGAGUAACUGUUCAGGUAUUGACGGUAUUUAACCAGAAAGCCACGGCUAACUACGUGCAG